AUUGAACGCUGGCGGCAUGCCUUACACAUGCAAGUCGAACGGCAACGGGUCCUUCGGGAUGCCGACGAGUGGCGAACGGGUGAGUAAUAUAUCGGAACGUGCCCAGUAGUGGGGGAUAACUGCUCGAAAGAGCAGCUAAUACCGCAUACGACCUGAGGGUGAAAGGGGGGGAUCGCAAGACCUCUCGCUAUUGGAGCGGCCGAUAUCAGAUUAGCUAGUUGGGGGGGUAAAGGCCUACCAAGGCAACGAUCUGUAGUUGGUCUGAGAGGACGACCAGCCACACUGGGACUGAGACACGGCCCAGACUCCUACGGGAGGCAGCAGUGGGGAAUUUUGGACAAUGGGCGCAAGCCUGAUCCCGCAAUGCCGCGUGCAGGAAGAAGGUCUUCGGGUUGUAAACUGCUUUUGUCAUGGAAGAAAUCUUCUGGGCUAAUACCCCGGGAGGAUGACGAUACCUGAAGAAUAAGCACCGGCUAACUACGUGCCAGCAGCCGCAGUAA
RNAcentral lists this ribosomal RNA (500 nucleotides) under uncultured bacterium. RNAcentral describes it as "partial 16S ribosomal RNA". It matches the Rfam family "Bacterial small subunit ribosomal RNA", at positions 30 to 523 of the family's 1533-position model. The record is from RNAcentral.